Molecule: ribosomal RNA, 492 nt
Filed under: uncultured bacterium
Lineage: Bacteria
Description: bacterial SSU rRNA
Rfam family: Bacterial small subunit ribosomal RNA
Source: RNAcentral
CCUUCGGGAACUCUGAGACAGGUGCUGCAUGGCUGUCGUCAGCUCGUGUUGUGAAAUGUUGGGUUAAGUCCCGCAACGAGCGCAACCCUUAUCCUUUGUUGCCAGCGGCUCGGCCGGGAACUCAAAGGAGACUGCCGGUGAUAAACCGGAGGAAGGUGGGGAUGACGUCAAGUCAUCAUGGCCCUUACGGCCAGGGCUACACACGUGCUACAAUGGCGCAUACAAAGAGAAGCGACCUCGCGAGAGCAAGCGGACCUCAUAAAGUGCGUCGUAGUCCGGAUUGGAGUCUGCAACUCGACUCCAUGAAGUCGGAAUCGCUAGUAAUCGUAGAUCAGAAUGCUACGGUGAAUACGUUCCCGGGCCUUGUACACACCGCCCGUCACACCAUGGGAGUGGGUUGCAAAAGAAGUAGGUAGCUUAACCUUCGGGAGGGCGCUUACCACUUUGUGAUUCAUGACUGGGGUGAAGUCGUAACAAGGUAAGCGUAGCGAG